GGAGAGAUGGCUCAGUGGUUAAGAGCACUGACUGCUUUUCUAGAGGUCCUGAGUUCAAUUCCCAGCAACCACA
RNAcentral lists this transfer RNA (73 nucleotides) under Mus musculus (house mouse). Its description in RNAcentral is "tRNA-Ser". The record is from RNAcentral. Lineage: Eukaryota; Metazoa; Chordata; Mammalia; Rodentia; Muridae.